AUUGAACGCUGGCGGCAUGCCUUACACAUGCAAGUCGAACGGCAGCACGGGAAUAGGCCUCUCUUCGAGGGGGGCACGGGCGGGUGAUACAGCAGAACAUCCGCAGUGACGUUGGCGAGCGCGAUGACAUAGGGAAACUUACCCCAUAACCGCUGACGGCGUACGCGUGGGAUCAUCGGACCUUCCGCUCUUGCGGGGUCCGAUGACGGAUUAGCUAGUUGGUGGGGUAAAGGCCUACCAAGGCGACGAUCUGUAGCUGGUCUGAGAGGACGACCAGCCACACUGGAACUGAGACACGGCCCAGACUCCUACGGGAGGCAGCAGUGGGGAAUUUUGGACAAUGGGCGAAAGCCUGAUCCAGCAAUGCCGCGUGUGUGAAGAAGGCCUUCGGGUUGUAAAGCACUUUUGGCGGGAAAGAAAAGCAGUAUGCUAAUACCGCGGUGUGAUGACGGUACCCGAAGAAUAAGCACCGGCUAACUACGUG
Molecule: ribosomal RNA, 484 nt
Filed under: uncultured bacterium
Lineage: Bacteria
Description: partial 16S ribosomal RNA
Rfam family: Bacterial small subunit ribosomal RNA
Source: RNAcentral